GAAAGGAUUAAAGAAAUGCUGUCUGUACCUUUAAGCAAAACUGUUGGAAUGCUGCAAUCCAGGUAUCAGGAAUACAGACAUUAACAUAGAACAAUUGCACCGUUUAAGGGCAAUUGGUGAAGUAUUAGCCUUAGAUCGAUAAGAGUUAGUAAGGAAGUAGGAUAUGCAUGCUGUGCCCCAGGUGAAUUUUACUGUUUUGCUUUCUUUGUCCCUUUGUCUAAUUCCCACUCUUUUAUCUGUAUAAAUAAGACUGUUUGGGUCUUGCAUGGCCACUCACAUUAUCUGGGUGUUAUUGGUGGAGCGCUGCGCUAAUAAAACAGAGUGGUCUGACAAA
Long non-coding RNA from Gopherus flavomarginatus (Mexican gopher tortoise), 334 nucleotides. RefSeq lists it as uncharacterized. The record is from RefSeq and is a predicted model, not a curated record. The transcript is spliced from 2 exons. NCBI's taxonomy places the organism in Eukaryota, Metazoa, Chordata, Testudines, Testudinidae.